Molecule: transfer RNA, 92 nt
Filed under: Colletotrichum navitas
Lineage: Eukaryota; Fungi; Ascomycota; Sordariomycetes; Glomerellales; Glomerellaceae
Description: tRNA-Glu
Rfam family: tRNA
About the family: Transfer RNA (tRNA) molecules are approximately 80 nucleotides in length. Their secondary structure includes four short double-helical elements and three loops (D, anti-codon, and T loops). Further hydrogen bonds mediate the characteristic L-shaped molecular structure. tRNAs have two regions of fundamental functional importance: the anti-codon, which is responsible for specific mRNA codon recognition, and the 3' end, to which the tRNAs corresponding amino acid is attached (by aminoacyl-tRNA synthetases). tRNAs cope with the degeneracy of the genetic code in two manners: having more than one tRNA (with a specific anti-codon) for a particular amino acid; and 'wobble' base-pairing, i.e. permitting non-standard base-pairing at the 3rd anti-codon position.
Source: RNAcentral
UCCCAUAUAGUCCAGUGGUUAGGAUACUCCGCUUUCAUAUAGCGUUAUGAUAGCGUUCCGGAGAGACCCGAGUUCGAACCUCGGUGUGGGAA